AACGAACGCUGGCGGCAUGCCUAACACAUGCAAGUCGAACGAGACCUUCGGGUCUAGUGGCGCACGGGUGCGUAACGCGUGGGAACCUGCCCUUAGGUUCGGAAUAACUCCCCGAAAGGGGUGCUAAUACCGGAUAAUGUCUUCGGACCAAAGAUUUAUCGCCAUUGGAUGGGCCCGCGUUGGAUUAGCUAGUUGGUAGGGUAAAAGCCUACCAAGGCGACGAUCCAUAGCUGGUCUGAGAGGAUGAUCAGCCACACUGGGACUGAGACACGGCCCAGACUCCUACGGAAGGCAGCAGUGGGGAAUAUUGGACGAUGGGCGAAAGCCUGAUCCAGCAAUGCCGCGUGAGUGAUGAAGGCCUUAGGGUUGUAAAGCUCUUUUACCCGGGAUGAUAAUGACGGUACCGGGAGAAUAAGCUCCGGCUAACUCCGUG
RNAcentral lists this ribosomal RNA (433 nucleotides) under uncultured bacterium. RNAcentral's name for it is "partial 16S ribosomal RNA". It matches the Rfam family "Bacterial small subunit ribosomal RNA", at positions 29 to 507 of the family's 1533-position model. The record is from RNAcentral.